UGUCGGCUAUUCCAAUAUGGCGGACUAUACCAAUCACAAAAAUAUGCGAAUUGCCAGUGGUAAAACUAUGUUGAUCAACAAGACAACCAGUAGGAUCUUGAAAAUACUACCGGCCAGAGUUACAGCUGCUUGUGUAUAAGGUAACUGGACUCAAGUCCAUGCACAGUUUUAUUUGUACAAUAGCUUGAUACAUUGCUCUUUAGUCUUACACUACACUAGAAUCACUCCAGAGUAAUAU
This 238-nucleotide unclassified non-coding RNA is filed under the name Orbicella faveolata. RNAcentral's name for it is "uncharacterized LOC110049130, transcript variant X2". The record is from RNAcentral. Lineage: Eukaryota; Metazoa; Cnidaria; Anthozoa; Scleractinia; Merulinidae.